GGGAAACGAUGUGGGAAGGCACAGACAGCCAGGAUGUUGGCUUAGAAGCAGCCAUCAUUUAAAGAAAGCGUAAUAGCUCACUGGUCGAGUCGGCCUGCGCGGAAGAUGUAACGGGGCUAAACCAUGCACCGAAGCUGCGGCAGCGACGUUUAUGCGUUGUUGGGUAGGGGAGCGUUCUGUAAGCCUGCGAAGGUGGCCUGUGAGGGUUGCUGGAGGUAUCAGAAGUG
RNAcentral lists this ribosomal RNA (227 nucleotides) under Salmonella enterica subsp. enterica serovar Bareilly str. CFSAN000953. Its description in RNAcentral is "partial 23S ribosomal RNA". It matches the Rfam family "Bacterial large subunit ribosomal RNA", at positions 1065 to 1290 of the family's 2925-position model. RNAcentral also lists the same sequence under 3 other names. Lineage: Bacteria; Pseudomonadati; Pseudomonadota; Gammaproteobacteria; Enterobacterales; Enterobacteriaceae. The record is from RNAcentral.